Molecule: transfer RNA, 70 nt
Filed under: Phrynosoma platyrhinos (Desert horned lizard)
Lineage: Eukaryota; Metazoa; Chordata; Lepidosauria; Squamata; Phrynosomatidae
Description: tRNA-OTHER
Source: RNAcentral
UUCAGCAUGGUGUAGUGGUUUGAGCACUAGAUUAUGACUCUGGAGUUCAGGGUUCAAUUCUCUGCUUAAU